This 207-nucleotide ribosomal RNA is filed under the name uncultured delta proteobacterium. RNAcentral describes it as "partial 16S ribosomal RNA". It matches the Rfam family "Bacterial small subunit ribosomal RNA", at positions 568 to 774 of the family's 1533-position model. The record is from RNAcentral. Lineage: Bacteria; Deltaproteobacteria.
CGUGUAGGCGGCUUGGUAAGUCGGAUGUGAAAGCCCUGGGCUUAACCCAGGAAGUGCAUUUGAAACUGCCAGGCUUGAGUAGGGAAGAGGAAGGUGGAAUUCCUGGUGUAGAGGUGAAAUUCGUAGAUAUCAGGAGGAACACCGGUGGCGAAGGCGACCUUCUGGUCCUAUACUGACGCUGAGACGCGAAAGCGUGGGUAGCAAACA